UUUAAUUAUUAUACAUAGCUUAUCAUAGACGAUCAUAAGAUAUUUCUAUGGGUUGGGAGUAGAUGGAUUGGAUGGGUAGCUGUUGGUCAAAAAGAAGGAAUAAGUUCAAGAAAUCUGUUGUAUGACAUGGCAACUCCAGAAAAGUGCUAAGAGAGUGUAUGUAAAGUGUUCUCACCACAAAAAAUAACUAUGUGAGGUAAUGAAUAUGUUAAUUAACUAGAUUUAGUCAUCUCACAAAUAUGUAUACUUCAAAACAUGUUAUACACAAUAAAUGCAUACAAUUUUAUGUCAAUUUAAAAAUAAUAAAAAACAAAAAUAAAAAUAUAUCUAAUGCUUUUUAAUAAUAUGCCUUAUAAAAAUAACACGAGGGAAAUUUAAGUAAUUGAAUGUGCUAUAAAUUUAUUUACCUGAUUACUAAAUAAUACAUCAUUCUGGAUAGUAACCCUUUUCAUGUGGAGCUUUGCCUAUUAGUAUUUUUGGCAAUAGAAAGAGAGUAAACAGACUGCUUUGUCCAGUUUUCUCUACACUAUUUUAAAGUGUUAAUAAUCUCAUUUGUAUAUCAAACUAAAAUCCUUACUGAUGGCAAAAUUGAUAACCUUUCUGUGCUCUGAGGCAAUUCCUCCCUUGUCUUUUUACCUAUUUCUAUCUCUCUUUUUAUAGAGUGAUCUGUAUUAAUGAUUUCAAUUUCAGGAGGGAUUGAAGGUAGAAUUAUUGAAUGACUAUUUAAAGGUUUCACUUAGCAUCUUGUGAAUUAGACACAAAGAAAAUAACUGAAUUUUUAUGAAGGCAUAGAGAUAAUAUAGAAAGUAGUUUCAGAAAAGUCGAAAAUACCGCCACCAUUCCUGAGUUAUAAUGUUGUUUUUGAACAAAUGAUAAAUGUAGUUUGUCUUUUAUAAAAACAUGAUUAUGUGGAAUAUCAGAAAAAUGUUAACACAUUUACUCUAGU
This 946-nucleotide long non-coding RNA is filed under the name Homo sapiens (human). RNAcentral's name for it is "non-protein coding lnc-OR6C6-2:1". Lineage: Eukaryota; Metazoa; Chordata; Mammalia; Primates; Hominidae. The record is from RNAcentral.